This 253-nucleotide ribosomal RNA is filed under the name uncultured bacterium. Its description in RNAcentral is "partial 16S ribosomal RNA". It matches the Rfam family "Bacterial small subunit ribosomal RNA", at positions 524 to 776 of the family's 1533-position model. The record is from RNAcentral.
UACAGAGGUCCCAAGCGUUGUUCGGAUUCAUUGGGCGUAAAGGGUGCGUAGGCGGCGCGGUAAGUCGGGUGUGAAAUCUCGGGGCUUAACUCCGAAACUGCAUUCGAUACUGCCGUGCUUGAGGACUGGAGAGGAGACUGGAAUUUACGGUGUAGCGGUGAAAUGCGUAGAUAUCGGGAGGAACACCGGUGGCGAAGGCGGCCUUCUGGACGGAUACUGACGCUGAGACGCGAAAGCGUGGGGAGCAAACAGG